UGCAAGGUCGCGUCUCCGUAAAGACCGUCGACAUUAAUUUGGGGUCAAGUAAAUAGAUUCAGCUGUUACUUGCCGCGUAUUACAUCCUCGUGGGACAAGGGGGUCAAUAUGACUUUGGCGAAAAUGUCGCCCGCGGUUUGUUGCAAAACAAAUUCAAGUAUUCGGUGCAACUGUGCAAUUAGAUGAGUGGGCAAUAAGAUCGAGUCAAUGCAUCGCUAAUCGGGUAUAAAUACGGCAGCUUCGAUUCGACUUAAUCAUAAAGCUGCAUUCAACGAUAAAUAAUCAACCUCGUCAUGAUACGGUUCACCGUUUUGCUUAUCGCCGCGUUGAUAUUUCUGCCGCAUAUCAGUCAGACAUCAGCUGACGACGAAUCCGCUGGGAAUAACUAUUUACAGAUCUUUAACACGUCCGAAAUGAUGCAGCACAUGACUUCAAUUUCGGAUGAAAUGCGGAAACGAGUCCCCAGUUUACCUUUUUAGUCGAUGUUCGACAAAAAUUAAAAUGCACCUUCUAAUUUACAACCCGCAAUUACGAAAAGGAUCAAUCGGACGACAGUCUUAUAAACCGGCAACGAAGAACAAGUCAGACAUAUUCAAGCGAAGACUCGAAGAGGACGAUGUUACAUAUUUCGUGAAAAUAAAACGUGGAAGUUAAGAAAAAAAUUAACAUACAAUUGAUCAAAAUGGAACUGCUUCGAAGUAUUUGGAGACAAAUUUUGAAUGUAAAAAAAUAAAUCCAUUCCUAUUUCUGUA
Neodiprion fabricii is the source of this 752-nucleotide long non-coding RNA. RefSeq lists it as uncharacterized. NCBI's taxonomy places the organism in Eukaryota, Metazoa, Arthropoda, Insecta, Hymenoptera, Diprionidae. The transcript is spliced from 2 exons. The record is from RefSeq and is a predicted model, not a curated record.